This 253-nucleotide ribosomal RNA is filed under the name uncultured bacterium. RNAcentral describes it as "partial 16S ribosomal RNA". It matches the Rfam family "Bacterial small subunit ribosomal RNA", at positions 524 to 776 of the family's 1533-position model. The record is from RNAcentral.
UACGAAGGGUCCAAGCGUUAUCCGGAUUUAUUGGGUUUAAAGGGUGCGUAGGCGGCUUAUUAAGUCAGUGGUGAAAGACUUCAGCUUAACUGAAGAACUGCCAUUGAUACUGAUGAGCUUGAAUGUAGUUGAGGUGGGCGGAAUGUGUCAUGUAGCGGUGAAAUGCUUAGAUAUGCGGAGGAACACCGAUGGCGAAGGCAAUCCCCUGGGCCUGCACUGACGCUCAUGCACGAAAGCGUGGGGAGCAAACAGG